AACCUGAAACCGUGUACGUACAAGCAGUGGGAGCCCCACCACUAAGCCAGUGGUGAACUCCACAUACGCAUCCUUUGCUGAGGAUACGGUUAACGGAGCGAAAGCGACGUUCAACCGCAAAAGAAGCAGAGGGGGCUUAGUGGUGGGGUGACUGCGUACCUUUUGUAUAAUGGGUCAGCGACUUAUAUUCUGUAGCAAGGUUAACCGUAUAGGGGAGCCGGAGGGAAACCGAGUCUUAAUUGGGCGUUAAGUUGCAGGGUAUAGACCCGAAACCCGGUGAUCUAGCCAUGGGCAGGUUGAAGGUUGGGUAACACUAACUGGAGGACCGAACCGACUAAUGUUGAAAAAUUAGCGGAUGACCUGUGGCUGGGGGUGAAAGGCCAAUCAAACCGGGAGAUAGCUGGUUCUCCCCGAAAGCUAUUUAGGUAGCGCCUCGUGAAUUCAUCUCCGGGGGUAGAGCACUGUUUCGGCUAGGGGGCCAUCCCGGCUUACCAACCCGAUGCAAACUGCGAAUACCGGAGAAUGUUAUCACGGGAGACACACGGCGGGUGCUAACGUCCGUCGUGAAGAGGGAAACAACCCAGACCGCCAGCUAAGGUCCCAAAGUCAUGGUUAAGUGGGAAACGAUGUGGGAAGGCCCAGACAGCCAGGAUGUUGGCUUAGAAGCAGCCAUCAUUUAAAGAAAGCGUAAUAGCUCACUGGUCGAGUCGGCCUGCGCGGAAGAUGUAACGGGGCUAAACCAUGCACCGAAGCUGCGGCAGCGACACUCAGGUGUUGUUGGGUAGGGGAGCGUUCUGUAAGCCUGCGAAGGUGGCCUGUGAGGGUUGCUGGAGGUAUCAGAAGUGCGAAUGCUGACAUAAGUAACGAUAAAGCGGGUGAAAAGCCCGCUCGCCGGAAGACCAAGGGUUCCUGUCCAACGUUAAUCGGGGCAGGGUGAGUCGACCCCUAAGGCGAGGCCGAAAGGCGUAGUCGAUGGGAAACGGGUUAAUAUUCCCGUACUUGGUGUUACUGCGAAGGGGGGACGGAGAAGGCUAUGUUGGCCGGGCGACGGUUGUCCCGGUUUAAGCGUGUAGGUGUGUGUUCCAGGUAAAUCCGGUUCACUUUAACACUGAGGCGUGACGACGAGGCACUACGGUGCUGAAGCAACAAAUGCCCUGCUUCCAGGAAAAGCCUCUAAGCAUCAGGUAACAUCAAAUCGUACCCCAAACCGACACAGGUGGUCAGGUAGAGAAUACCAAGGCGCUUGAGAGAACUCGGGUGAAGGAACUAGGCAAAAUGGUGCCGUAACUUCGGGAGAAGGCACGCUGACAUGUAGGUGAAGUGAUUUACUCAUGGAGCUGAAGUCAGUCGAAGAUACCAGCUGGCUGCAACUGUUUAUUAAAAACACAGCACUGUGCAAACACGAAAGUGGACGUAUACGGUGUGACGCCUGCCCGGUGCCGGAAGGUUAAUUGAUGGGGUCAGCGCAAGCGAAGCUCCUGAUCGAAGCCCCGGUAAACGGCGGCCGUAACUAUAACGGUCCUAAGGUAGCGAAAUUCCUUGUCGGGUAAGUUCCGACCUGCACGAAUGGCGUAAUGAUGGCCAGGCUGUCUCCACCCGAGACUCAGUGAAAUUGAACUCGCUGUGAAGAUGCAGUGUACCCGCGGCAAGACGGAAAGACCCCGUGAACCUUUACUAUAGCUUGACACUGAACAUUGAGCCUUGAUGUGUAGGAUAGGUGGGAGGCUUUGAAGUGUGGACGCCAGUCUGCAUGGAGCCGACCUUGAAAUACCACCCUUUAAUGUUUGAUGUUCUAACGUGGACCCGUGAUCCGGGUUGCGGACAGUGUCUGGUGGGUAGUUUGACUGGGGCGGUCUCCUCCUAAAGAGUAACGGAGGAGCACGAAGGUUGGCUAAUCCUGGUCGGACAUCAGGAGGUUAGUGCAAUGGCAUAAGCCAGCUUGACUGCGAGCGUGACGGCGCGAGCAGGUGCGAAAGCAGGUCAUAGUGAUCCGGUGGUUCUGAAUGGAAGGGCCAUCGCUCAACGGAUAAAAGGUACUCCGGGGAUAACAGGCUGAUACCGCCCAAGAGUUCAUAUCGACGGCGGUGUUUGGCACCUCGAUGUCGGCUCAUCACAUCCUGGGGCUGAAGUAGGUCCCAAGGGUAUGGCUGUUCGCCAUUUAAAGUGGUACGCGAGCUGGGUUUAGAACGUCGUGAGACAGUUCGGUCCCUAUCUGCCGUGGGCGCUGGAGAACUGAGGGGGGCUGCUCCUAGUACGAGAGGACCGGAGUGGACGCAUCACUGGUGUUCGGGUUGUCAUGCCAAUGGCACUGCCCGGUAGCUAAAUGCGGAAGAGAUAAGUGCUGAAAGCAUCUAAGCACGAAACUUGCCCCGA
This 2373-nucleotide ribosomal RNA is filed under the name Salmonella enterica subsp. enterica serovar Panama. RNAcentral describes it as "partial 23S ribosomal RNA". It matches the Rfam family "Bacterial large subunit ribosomal RNA", at positions 547 to 2802 of the family's 2925-position model. Lineage: Bacteria; Pseudomonadati; Pseudomonadota; Gammaproteobacteria; Enterobacterales; Enterobacteriaceae. The record is from RNAcentral.